This 396-nucleotide ribosomal RNA is filed under the name uncultured bacterium. RNAcentral's name for it is "partial 16S ribosomal RNA". It matches the Rfam family "Bacterial small subunit ribosomal RNA", at positions 338 to 731 of the family's 1533-position model. The record is from RNAcentral.
CCUACGGGUGGCAGCAGUGAGGAAUAUUGGUCAAUGGGCGCGAGCCUGACCCAGCCAAGUAGCGUGAAGGAUGACUGCCCUACGGGUUGUAAACUUCUUUUAUAGAGGAAUAAAGUGAGGCACGUGUGCCUUUUUGUAUGUACUUUAUGAAUAAGGAUCGGCUAACUCCGUUCCAGCAGCCGCGGUAAUCCGGCGGAUCCGCGCGUUCUCCGGAUUUAUUGGGUUUAAAGGGAGAGUAGAUGGGUUGUUAAGUCAGUUGUGAAAGUUUGCGGCUCAACCGUAAAAUCGCCAUUGAUACUGGCAGUCUGGAGUACAGUUGAGGUAGGCGGAAUUCGUGGUGUAGCGGUGAAAUGCUUAGAUAUCACGAAGAACUCCGAUUGCGAAGGCAGCCUACUA